Molecule: unclassified non-coding RNA, 298 nt
Filed under: uncultured Helotiales
Lineage: Eukaryota; Fungi; Ascomycota; Leotiomycetes; Helotiales
Description: sequence contains ITS1
Rfam family: 5.8S ribosomal RNA (bases 1-105)
Source: RNAcentral
GAAAUGCGAUAAGUAAUGUGAAUUGCAGAAUUCAGUGAAUCAUCGAAUCUUUGAACGCACAUUGCGCCCGGUGGUAUUCCGCCGGGCAUGCCUGUUCGAGCGUCAUUUAAACCAAUCCAGCCUCGUGCUUGGGUCUUGGGCCUUUCGCCUUUGGGCGGGCCUCAAAAUCAGUGGCGGUGCCGUCUGGCUCUAAGCGUAGUAAACAUUCCUCGCUAUAGAUGUCCGCCGGUAGCUUGCCAACAGCCCCUAAUUUUAUAAGGUUGACCUCGGAUCAGGUAGGGAUACCCGCUGAACUUAA